CUGAGGUUUAAUGAAUAUGUAGAGGUAACAGAUGCUCAAGAUUAUGACCGGCGAGCCGACAAACCUUGGACCAAACUGACCCCUGCUGACAAGGCUGCCAUAAGAAAAGAAUUAAAUGAAUUUAAAAGCUCCGAGAUGGAGGUUCAUGAAGAGAGCAAACAUUUUACACGCUACCAUCGUCCAUGAUGCCAAAGGUUGAGAGAGGAACUCAACAUGGCUGCUUUGCUGCUUCCUUCUCCAAAGUGACAUAUGGAGGGAACUUUAGCACUUCCCAGCACAGCCAGAAUUGCGUCCUCUGGGAUCUUCUGAGGUGGACAGCACUUUUAAUGUAGCAUUUCACUGGAACAGAGUCUUAUGUGCUGCAGCUGGAGCAAAACAACACUUUGUCAGUGCUUUUGAACCUUUCAAUAUUGUAGCAUACUUGAGGAGUUUUUCCCUUACUGGCCACCAAAGUUCUGAACCACUUGCAGGUUCCAGGUUUUACUGGCUGCACCACACCCCUUCCCCUAGAUGACUGCCUGUGCUGAGACACAGUUUGCACCAUUAGCCUUACCUGCCCUGCCCUGAUUGUGAGACCCAAAUGUGUAGGCUCUAAAUUCCAGCCAUCAAAUCCAAUUCCUGGUGGGGAAAAUCUUCUGGAGACCCCCAACCUUCUGAUAAAAGAGUCUCUACCUCCAGGGAAAGCCUUCUUACCACACUGGCAUAUCAGAUGAAAGCAUUGCACUGUACCUCUCGUAACACAGCAAUACAGUCCUCUUGAGGCACUCAAGCCUGAGAGGAAGCUCAGGAUCUGACAUGUUCUUCCUUUUCCUCACAAGUCAUCAUGAUUUUUUAUUUUAAAAUAAUCUGGAAGUAAUGGGAACUUAGUUUUUCCUGAACUCCAACCAGAAUCCAAAUUGGUUAGAUGAGCCACCGUGCCCAGCCUUCCUUGAAGUUUUUUGUUUGGUUUUGAUUUGUUUUGUUUUUGGAGAUAGGGUCUCACUCUGUUACCCAUGCUGGAGUGCAGCGGCACAAUCUUGACUCAGAGCAACCUCUGCCUCCCAGGCUCAAGUGAUCCUCCCACUUCAGUCUAAGUAGCUGGGACUACAGACAUGUGCCACCAGGCCCAGCUAAUUUUUGUGUUUUUUUAGAGAUGAGGUUUUGCCAUAUUGCCCAGGCUGGUCUUGAACACCGGGGCUCAAGGAAUCUGCCCAUCUUCGCCUCCCAAAGUUCUGAGAUGGCAGGUGUGAGUCAUCAUGCCCAGCCUCCUUGAAGUUUACUAACACUUGGGAUAACUGAGGGAAAAUAAGUGACAAUUGCACUCAGUCUAUUAGAGGUCUGGAUAUAAGGUAGCCACACAAUAACUCUAACUUGACUUCUAACCAUUCUAUCUUAUUGGUUUGGAGACUGUCUUCUGCCAGCAUUUUUUGUAGCUUGAGAUGAUAUUUUCGAACCCUUCUUUCACUACCUUUCUUACCCUUAAGGUGCCAAGCUUGAAACAGGAUUUGAUUUCCUGAGCUACUUGUUCGCCUUCUGUGCAUCACCAAGUAAUCUGGUUCAUCUUUCAUCUCAUUCAUGUUAUUUUCAAGUGAAACAAGACAUUUUGGGGGUCAAGUCUCUUUGGGUGUUUGUUUUGUUUUUAUGUAUAUAAAAAUGGAUUUUGUGUUCCCUUUCCAUGUAAGUACCAACUUAUAUGGAAACUCACAAUCAUAAUGUAAAGAAGAAAUGAAAUCCUGAUGUAUUGUACUUCAAGAUGCCUCCCUGAUGUAUAGAAUCUCCUUGUAAAAUAAAUAAUUGCAUUGUAUAUCAGUCUUCCCAUCAAUAUUAAUUAUUAAAUAUUUUAGAAUUUUUAAAUACCAA
This 1839-nucleotide small RNA is filed under the name Pongo abelii (Sumatran orangutan). RNAcentral describes it as "processed transcript". Lineage: Eukaryota; Metazoa; Chordata; Mammalia; Primates; Hominidae. The record is from RNAcentral.